Molecule: transfer RNA, 85 nt
Filed under: Felis catus (domestic cat)
Lineage: Eukaryota; Metazoa; Chordata; Mammalia; Carnivora; Felidae
Rfam family: tRNA
About the family: Transfer RNA (tRNA) molecules are approximately 80 nucleotides in length. Their secondary structure includes four short double-helical elements and three loops (D, anti-codon, and T loops).
Source: Rfam by way of RNAcentral
GCCUGGCUGGUUCAGUCGGUUGAGCAUCCGACUUCGGCUCAGGUCAUGAUCUCGCGGUCUGUGGGUUUGAGCCCCACGUCGGGCU